This 497-nucleotide ribosomal RNA is filed under the name uncultured bacterium. RNAcentral describes it as "partial 16S ribosomal RNA". It matches the Rfam family "Bacterial small subunit ribosomal RNA", at positions 28 to 507 of the family's 1533-position model. The record is from RNAcentral.
GAUGAACGCUGGCGGCGUGCCUAAUACAUGCAAGUCGAGCGAACAGACGAGGAGCUUGCUCCUCUGACGUUAGCGGCGGACGGGUGAGUAACACGUGGAUAACCUACCUCUAAGACUGGGAUAACUUCGGGAAACCGGAGCUAAUACCGGAUAAUAUAUUGAAUCGCAUGGUUCAAUAGUGAAAGACGGUUUUGCUGUCACUUAUAGAUGGAUCCGCGCCGCAUUAGCUAGUUGGUAAGGUAACGGCUUACCAAGGCAACGAUGCGUCGCCGACCUGAGAGGGUGAUCGGCCACACUGGAACUGAGACGCGGUCCAGACUCCUACGGGAGGCAGCAGUAGGGAAUCUUCCGCAAUGGGCGAAAGCUUGACGGAGCAACGCCGCGUGAGUGAUGAAGGUCUUCGGAUCGUAAAACUCUGUUAUUAGGGAAGAACAAAUGUGUAAGUAACUAUGCACGUCUUGACGGUACCUAAUCAGAAAGCCACGGCUAACUACGUG